Small nuclear RNA from Pongo abelii (Sumatran orangutan), 108 nucleotides. The record is from Ensembl. NCBI's taxonomy places the organism in Eukaryota, Metazoa, Chordata, Mammalia, Primates, Hominidae.
GCUGCUCACUUUGGCAGCUCAUAUACUAAAAUUAGAACAACACAGAGAAAAUUAGAGUGGCUUCUGCACAAGGAAGAUGUGUAAAUUUGUGAAGCGUUCCAUAUUUCG